Long non-coding RNA from Megalobrama amblycephala (Wuchang bream), 2364 nucleotides. RefSeq lists it as uncharacterized. NCBI's taxonomy places the organism in Eukaryota, Metazoa, Chordata, Actinopteri, Cypriniformes, Xenocyprididae. The record is from RefSeq and is a predicted model, not a curated record. The transcript has 3 exons.
UGAGUGUAUAUAUUAUUUAAAUGCUGAAAACAGUACAUUUUGUACGUUUUUGUUUUCAUGAUGCUUAGAAUACUUAUCAUGAAAUCAAACUUAACAACUCAUAUUAUAAAUAAAUAUUGCAGUAAAUGUUUUAUCCGUGAACAUUCUUUUUUUAUUCAUGUGUCCUCGUAAUCUUUAAUCAAAAUAGGCGAAAUGCAUAGGCGCUGCGCAGACCUCUCCAAGUAUCAAAGUACCGCGAGAGCGAUUGGAGAGCAUACGACUCCAUGCUUUUGAAUCGCUCUCUCGGUAGUUUGAUGUCAUACGCCGAUCGGUCCGAUGCAUUUCGAAUAUGGAACCCUCUUGCAACGUCUGGCGCGAUGGCGGGAAGCCUUCCACUCCCAUGAGAUCGACCAGUAGCAAACUACAACCAUCCCAUCAAUUCCCCAUGGCCAAAAUCGAGUCCCGCCCACUGGUCUAAAUGACAUCAUUUAUGUAGAACAGUGUGUCCCGCCCUACAUUUUUUCUUGUUUGAGAAGUCGUUUUACACGUCACAGUAAGGAAGAAACUAUAAUUUCUGUUUCAUGCCUAAUUUAGUUUGGUUACAGUGGACUCCAUAAUAAACACAUCCAGAGCCUGCCAUUUUAUUACCUUUCCUCCAAACCGUUUAAGCUCCUUAGCCAGCGCCCCCGUCCUCGUGACAGCAGUGAUUCAUUUUAGCUGAAACGCCUCACAAACUUAGUGAUAUUUUUGGGUGAAAUCAAGAAACAUUUGCUCCUGUUUGAGUUGCAACACAGCCAAACACAGGUGUGUACAGUGGAAGAGAUAAACAAACGGCCCUGUACAGCAGUCUCAUUAAGUUUAACAUCGACUGGAUUUGAGUCUUUGUAACAUUUAACACUGAUAAAGUCAGUUGACAACCACAAACAAAAGUGUUGUUGGUCACCACAAAUAUCACAGCCUCUUACGACGUCUUGUGGAUGAAUCCUGUAAUCACAUAGCCUAAUUUGAAGGCUUCAUAUUAGAAAGUCAGAGCAAGUUUAAUACAUUUUAUUUUCGUGUUAUUUCUAGUUACAGCCUAUUUUAGUAUAGUAAAUGGAGCUGCUUUUUCACAUUUAUUAAUUCAGCAGAUGUUUAUUAAAAGUGAAUUCAAUUAAUAUAAGCCUAUUGUCUGGGAAAAAGUGUCCGUGUUCUUUUUAGUGUACGGAGGGAGACAAUUACAAUGCAGCUAUUCAAAUGCUGGAAUUUCCCAGAGGCUUGAACACAUGCAUAAGCAAAUAUUUACAACGCAGCUGAAAUUUUUCGAAUAGGCCUAUGUGUUGUCUCAUUUUAACACGGCCUCUUCUGAAGAAAGCAAAACGUUUUACUUGCACAGUGCCGAUUGAUAAAUCAAAAUAAGACAUUCUUAAAUGAUCACAUAAGACAAAACAUUUUAUUUCUCAAGAACAAAAGUAUGCUGAAUUGUCUCUAUGCUGCGCUAGCGACCUCUUGUGGAUUAAGCUUGCUUAUUCCAAACAGGCCUAUAAAAAAAAAAAUUGUGUGGCGAAAAACUAUGGUUAUAAAUAAGUCCCCAAGCCAAAAGCAUUUGUCCUUCCUGGAGACACAUAAGUCUCACUGCUGGAUCCAUUAUUGGUCAGUUGUUCUGUAAUGCAACGGGGAAUCAAGGAAGAAAUAAGGCAGAGAUGAGGAUCCAAGUGCAGUGGAGUUUAAUAAAACAAACAAACAAACAAUAAUGAACAACAUAACACUGGGAAACAAGGACCACAAGGAGCAGCAAAAAUCUAAUAACUGACAGAGAACAAGUAAAACACAGGGGAUAUUACAGGGACAAACAAGAUAACAAGUAACACACCUGGGGAAGACUAAUCAGCAGGGAAAACUACAACAGGAACAGGACACAGGAAUGAAGAAACAAUAGGAACAUAAAACCCUUCAACAUAAAAGUCCAUACAAAACAGGCACAACAUUGGGAUCAUGAUAGUAACACUCUCUUUAACAGGAAUAUUACAGAUAGGGGAUGUAGUUUUUUAAUCGGGAGUAACUCACAUUUAUAGGAAACUAGGAAACUAGUAUUUAUGAUAAUUCAGAGAUCACGUGAAGGCAGCAUUAUACACGGAGUAUCAGGAAGCGGAGGAAGUACCUCCUCCACCACCAUAAUCUCAGAGUCGUCAUUUGUUUGAGAUAAUCGUGCAGAUUAUCCUUCAACACCCCAGCUGCAGAAGUAUUAUCUUGACAUCCCGCUGCUUAUCCUCCCAUUGUUCUUGUUCACAAAAUUCAGGGCAUCCAGACAGAUAAUUUCUCAAUAGAUCCUCUCAAGGUUCGUUACAACUAAAACAAUGUUGGGAUUGCCGAGUUCACAAACACACCUGUGCUCAGGGCGCCAUCUUG